This 433-nucleotide ribosomal RNA is filed under the name uncultured bacterium. RNAcentral describes it as "partial 16S ribosomal RNA". It matches the Rfam family "Bacterial small subunit ribosomal RNA", at positions 29 to 507 of the family's 1533-position model. The record is from RNAcentral.
AACGAACGCUGGCGGCAUGCCUAACACAUGCAAGUCGAACGAAGCCUUCGGGCUUAGUGGCGCACGGGUGCGUAACGCGUGGGAAUCUGCCCCUUGCUUCGGAAUAACAGUUAGAAAUGACUGCUAAUACCGGAUGAAGUCUUCGGACCAAAGAUUUAUCGGCAAGGGAUGAGCCCGCGUAGGAUUAGGUAGUUGGUGGGGUAAAGGCCUACCAAGCCGACGAUCCUUAGCUGGUCUGAGAGGAUGAUCAGCCACACUGGGACUGAGACACGGCCCAGACUCCUACGGGAGGAAGCAGUGGGGAAUAUUGGACAAUGGACGCAAGUCUGAUCCAGCAAUGCCGCGUGAGUGAUGAAGGCCUUAGGGUUGUAAAGCUCUUUUACCAGGGAUGAUAAUGGCAGUACCUGGAGAAUAAGCGCCGGCUAACUCCGUG